Non-coding RNA from Stygiomarasmius scandens, 92 nucleotides. The record is from the annotation of a GenBank genome assembly. NCBI's taxonomy places the organism in Eukaryota, Fungi, Basidiomycota, Agaricomycetes, Agaricales, Campanellaceae.
UCCAUCGUGGUGUAGUGGCUAACAUUGCUGUCUUUCAUCGAUGCUUACAAAAUCGGGCACAGCAGCCCGGGGUUCGAUUCCCCGCGAUGGAA